AUACGAAAGGUGCAAGCGUUGUUCGGAUUUACUGGGCGUAAAGAGAGUGUAGGUUGUUUAUUAAGUCGGAUGUGAAAUCCCGGGGCUCAACCUCGGAACUGCAUUCGAUACUGGUAGACUAGAGUUCGGGAGGGGUAAGCGGAAUUCCGUGUGUAGCAGUGAAAUGCGUCGAUAUACGGAGGAACACCUGAGGCGAAGGCGGCUUACUGGACCGAUACUGACACUGAGACUCGAAAGCGUGGGUAGCAAACAGGAUUAGAAACCCGAGUAGUCC
RNAcentral lists this ribosomal RNA (274 nucleotides) under uncultured bacterium. RNAcentral's name for it is "partial 16S ribosomal RNA". It matches the Rfam family "Bacterial small subunit ribosomal RNA", at positions 523 to 796 of the family's 1533-position model. The record is from RNAcentral.